UGGGGAAUAUUGGACAAUGGGGGGAACCCUGAUCCAGCCAUGCCGCGUGUGUGAAGAAGGCCUUAUGGUUGUAAAGCACUUUAAGCGAGGAGGAGGGUACUGGUAUUAAUACUACCAGGUACUGGACGUUACUCGCAGAAUAAGCACCGGCUAACUCUGUGCCAGCAGCCGCGGUAAUACAGAGGGUGCGAGCGUUAUUCGGAUUUACUGGGCGUAAAGCGUGCGUAGGCGGCUAAUUGAGUCGGAUGUGAAAUCCCCGAGCUUAACUUGGGAAUUGCAUUCGAUACUGGUUAGCUAGAGGGUGGGAGAGGAUGGUAGAAUUCCAGGUGUAGCGGUGAAAUGCGUAGAGAUCUGGAGGAAUACCGAUGGCGAAGGCAGCCAUCUGGCCUAACACUGACGCUGAGGUACGAAAGCAUGGGGAGCAAACAGG
Molecule: ribosomal RNA, 430 nt
Filed under: Pseudomonadota bacterium
Lineage: Bacteria; Pseudomonadati; Pseudomonadota
Description: Proteobacteria bacterium partial 16S ribosomal RNA
Rfam family: Bacterial small subunit ribosomal RNA
Source: RNAcentral